UCUAGGGCUAAUUAAAGGACAAUGACUAUCUCAUUUUCGAGAUUCAUGGUCAACACAAAAUUUUGUUACUUAAGCUUUAAGUAAUUUCUUACUUAACCCAGUCAGAAGAGCAAAUUUGACAAAUGCAUCAAAACUAUAUUGCUGAUUCAAAUUGAAACAAAAACCACAUAUUUACUCCUUGUGUAUUAAACUGGAUUCUCAGGGAUAUUUGCAUAGGCCCCCUAUUUUUGAACUCUCAGAUUCGCUUUUGCUGUGUCAUGGAGGUUCUCAAGAACCUUGUCCUGCUGUUACCGUGUCACAGAGGACACAAGGCACAGCGAGGCUUACGUUCUCAUCGCUCCUCAUACGGAAAACUGCUGAAGUAACAACAUUGCUUAAGAAAUUAAGACCAAGUGUAAGGCAAAGCCAGAGGGCAUUUAAGUAGAUAAAAUUCCUGGAAGUCAUCAGUAGGACCUAUCUUUCUGAUUGGGAAUGCCUUAAGCAUGACAUCCUCUUUGCUGCCUUCAAGUAAGGGAAGAAUCUCCAUUGCAAACAUGACAUUCACUGCAACCAUUGCUGGAGUAACCUCAGCUGCUACCAGCAGCAUUGAGCCCUCAAGGCCAGACGUACAAAGCUGAAGGACUCUCCUGUCAAGAAAAAUAUACUGUGGCCUGGUAAAAGAUAAAGAGAAUCUUAGAAAGCUUCC
Molecule: long non-coding RNA, 685 nt
Organism: Pseudopipra pipra
Lineage: Eukaryota; Metazoa; Chordata; Aves; Passeriformes; Pipridae
Exons: 2
Source: RefSeq, a predicted model, not a curated record